CGGGAGUAUAUGAGGUGACUUGUAUAUGAUUUGCUGCUACAAUUAGCCUAUUCUGAAAAGCAAAAAUAACUGAGAAGAAUCUCUCUCACCAAAAGGCAACGCAACAAAGUUUUGUGACGAAAAUGAGAAGAAACACAUGGCAUCUCUCCUUUAAUGGGAUGGACAUCAUCAGAGGUCAUCAUCACUGACAAAGAUGAACAAUAAAGCACACUCUAGGCAAAUGAUAAUGAUCCAGUGUGGCAGGAAGUCAGGUACACUUUACUCACUGUGCCAGCUUCUGGGUGGUUCCAGGCAGAAGCAGAAAACCCAGGGGUAGAGCUGCAAUGAUUCACUCGAUGAAAGAAUGGAAAGACAAGGUCAAAUGAGGUGGGAGAGACAGGCAAAUGAAAACAGGUGAGUAUGUCAUAGGCAUACAUGAGAAAGAGAAAUUUACGGUAAGAAAAAAACUUGCAGCUGUGUUUACCAGAAAUUCACAGUAUUACAAGAUGGCAUAGUGAUGACUGUUUUAAAACUUAUAACUGUAUAUUUAAGUGAUAAAAUGAUAACAUUCCAAGAUACUUGGACUAAAAAAAAAAAAAAAAAAAAUCUAAAUUUUACCUAUAAAUAUACCGAUAACCAUCAUAAUAAUACAGGGGGCACAAUAGAAAAUCAAAUGAUGGAUCAGAGCUCAUAAAACAUGUCCAUGUAUAUACUGUAGAUGUGCACAGAGUCAUACACACUACAAACAAAACAGCAUCAGAGAAACAAACACAACGUUAAAAUUAUACGUGAUGAUAAAAGUUAAAAAAAAAUUAAAAACUACAAAUAAACCAAUGAAAUUUAAAAUUGAAAGAGAAAGAGAACUUGUUGUUAAAAUAACAACAACAACAAAAAAAGUUUCAUUUUCAAUUAGUGAAAAAUCGAAUAUCAACUGGGUAAUUUGAGCAGGAUAAACAGACCUAAAAGUUGUUAUUGAUCACCAGCAGCUGGCUAUUUCAACAAGUAAAACAUUACGUUUUGUAACAGACUGAUACUAGAGAACAAUCCACAACACCUGCUAAACUUGAAAACUUUAUCUUGAGAACUUUAUCUAAAUUCUAUAUUUAUAAUUUACCUUUAAAAACAUCAGCGAAGUGUGAGACUAUUUGUAUUAGUAUGUUUUCUCAGCGGGGAAAACCCAGCUCUGGAUUGUUUAAAUAUGCUGUUCCUCUGAAUGCACACGUGUAUCAGCUUGUUUCCUGGUAAAUGAGAAUUACGCACUGAUAUUUGCAAAUAAUUGACAACUUUAUGUGGCAAAAUACAGAAAUUCUGCACACCUCCUCACUUUGGGAAAGCAAGAACAUUUGUGACCUGCUACUCAACGACAGACAUAUUCCUGUACCUCAAAACAGACGGAGGAGAAAAGAAACAGAUGAGCCACAAAUGACUAUAUUCUUUAUGAAUCCCCUUCAGUUUUGCUGUAAGAAUGGGAGUAUCUAAGACAGGAACAAAUGAGCUAAAGGGUUUAUGCUUAUCAAAUUAGUAUCAGUAGUUUAGAAUAGUAGUAUAGAAAUUAUUAAUUAUUAUAACUACUUAUGUAAUAAGUCCAAUAAUAAAAUACCUCCAACAAAAAACAAAUAAAAUAAUAACUAAUAGCUGAAUAACAACACAAGUAAAUAUUUAUAUUGUCAGGAUGUCAGAACACAAUUUGUUUGAAACAUGUUUCUUCAUUGUUUGCUUCUCUUAAUUUAGCCAGCAUAUGCUCUUGCUUUGUUCCCUGUCAAAUCACCUGCCUUGCAAACAUCUGUGAGUGAAACAGAAAAACCGUAACUGAAGUGCGCAAGCAUAUGGAGAGCACAAUUCCGCAGAAGAGUCAAUGCCUCAGAAGACAAACAACACAGGCUCAGUGACUCAAUAUCUCACUCCUGUUUUUAGAUGCACAACACUAAACCUAAUGUCUCUCUGAAAAUCAGAGAGAAAUGUUGCUGCAAUGAUGUUCCAGGAUCAACAAGGAUGCUGAUGCUGAUCCAGAAACAGUGUUUACACCGAGGCCAUAUUGAGAACCAAACAGAACAAUUCUGCUCACGAAAGCAAUCAUCUGUAUAUCUCCCAGACCUUCUCCUGUAGCUCUAACCCUAAUAACACACCUGAACCUGAGCUGAAACUUCCAGGUAAGUGUGUUGGAGCUACAGGAUGCUGGACCUCUAGAAGGAGACUUGAGAUAAAAAAAAAAAAAAAACAACCAUGAUAAACAAUUAUUACAAAAACAGUGCAUUAUGAUUUAACUGAACUGUUUUCUAUUUUAGUGCACUUUAAAAUGUGAUUUAGACAUGUUUUAUUAUGAUCAGAAUUGAAAACUCUUUUUUUAGGAUUCUAUGAAGAACAUUUUUGUAUAAUUUUGGUAUAAAUAGCAGUUUAAAGAGGAAAAAAUGAGCCCUUUUUUGACAUACCGUUCAGCUUUGGCAUGAAAUCUCUGAAUCGAAAUUGUUGUUGAAGCCCUAAAUCGCAUUUUUUUUUUCUUGGAGAGCAGAGGUUUUGAUUUCAGGUCAAGCGUCUAAAAUAGAGAUAUCAGCAUUUGGACAGUAACAGGACCCAAAAGAAUCUGACAACCAAGGGAGUCCAAAUCUAAUCUAACCUAAAUUCCUAGCAACUGCAUUCCAAAGCAGUCAUUCAAUCCAAUUUUGUCUAAAAGAGGGAAGAAUCAAAAUGCCAGGUCCUUCGUCUCUAGCUUCAGCUGUAAUGGAUAAUGUGUGGUUUAAGUUUUCCAGUACAUUUUUAUUAUAGUCAGAAACAGGUUCCUCAUUUACCCCCUGCUAUAUGUCCUAAAAGUCGCUUGUCUAGGAAACAACUGUUAAACAUGACAAGAGAUGUUUUUUGAAGGAAAUAAGCGUUACUCAACAAAAUACCGAGGCAUGACAUUGCAAAAAAUGAAAAGCGCAAGCAUCUUGAUGCCUGGAGUGCUGGCCAUAUGUGAAGAUGCUGGAGAAAGUAAUUGUAGACUUUUGAUUCUCAGAAUCUUAAACAAAUUGGUUUGGUCGAAAAGUUGACGUUAAAGCAAUUCGUAGUAGACAAGGUGUUAUUUAUGGCCAUAAUGUAGAUGACUGAUGGAGAUUUACCACACAAAGUGUGUUAACUAAGAGGAAAACGUGGAGUGAUUGAGCGGCUAGGUGGAUGGAGAUGGAUGGCUCAAUGAUAACCCCCACUACCCACUGGCUUUGUGGGGGCCAGUGCUAUUAGCAUGUCCAUGUAACAAUAAAUCACCAAUCCCACACACACACAAACUCACGCACACCCUCGGUGCUUCACAGCAAUGAUAGAUGGGCCCCUUCAGGCCUGUGUGUCGCUGUCAGUGUUCAAAUUAAACCCGAGCCCCUCCCAGAAUCCCUCCCAAACACCUUGACUGAAGGGGAGGACACACAGAGAGCGCUCAGAGGAAGCCAGAGUUUUGUUUCUGUAACCUUUGACUCCCGGAGCCCAUCAAUAACCUCCCAGCAGCACUGAGAGAGGGAGGGUGGGCUGCCAUCCAUCUUCAUUGGAGGAGAGGAGAACGUGCGCUCGCUGUCUCUCCUCUCUUCCCCUAUCACUCCAUCUUCUCCCACACUCUCACUUCACUUUCACUCACAACCUUUUGUCUUGUCAUUCUCUCUCUCCCUGAACGUGCGGGUUGUCUCCUGUGAAUCUCGAUGUUGAUGUACAGGAAAUCAGAUAUACAAAUUGGCCGAGUUGUGAUUUUCACCUCAACUAAAAUAAACCGAACCAACUAGAAAUGACAGUGAAAGCAAUUUCUGCUUCUACAAUAUUUUUGACAAAGCACUGAAAAAUAAGGUUUAUAUUCACUACUGUUCAAAAGUUUGGGGUCAGUAAGAUUUUUUUGAAUGUUGUUGAAAUAAGUCUUUUGUACUUACCAAGGGUGUAUUUAUUUGACCAAACAGUAAAAUUGUGAAAUAUUAUUGCAAUUUAAAUUACAAUAUUCAAAUAGAAAACCAUUAAUUCAGUUUAUUGUAAUAUACUCCUGUCAAACUUACAGCAGCCAUUAUUCCAAACUUCGUUCAAAUAUGGUGAUUUGAACAUUUCUUAUUUCUUAUAAGUUAAAAACAGUUUUGCUGCUUAAUAUUUUGUGGAAACUAUGAUAAAUUAUUUUCAGGAUUCUUUAAUGAAAAGGAAUGUUUUUUUUUUAAUAGACAUCUUUUGUAACAUCUUAAAAGUCUUUACGUUUGGUUUGAUUUAAUUUAACACAUAUUAUAACAUUUUGACGUAAUAUUUUUAUCAUGUUAUUCUCAGGCAACAAUAGGAUUUGAUGUACAUAAACCACUUACGUUUCCUAAUUAAAGUUGAGGUGCUUAUUUGACACAUUGCUGACUUGUUACACAUGACCAGUUUAAUAUUCAGUCUUAUUUUUACACUGGGGUUCAUCCAUCUCAAUGCAAAAAUGAGCAUGCUGUCAACAUCAAAUACAGCUUUGAUCAGUUUGCCAAGUGAUUGUUGGUCACUGUCCUGGUACUGAACAGAUAAACUGCGGCAUAGAGAAAAAGAGACAGACUGAGAUUAGUUCACAGAUUACCAUAUUUCCAUAAUCAGUCAGAUAUGAAGCCAUGGCAGACACUAUGCAAACAUCAAGCCACUGUUCUUCCCUCUUCUGCAUUUUCAUCUGACCCAUUUCCAAACACACUCGCAGAUUUUAACAAUAACUUAUAUAAAGGCAUAUAAACAUGCAGGUUAUUUUUAACUCUCUUCCGUAAGAGACAAAGAUCAAUGGGUGACAUGCUUCAGUUUCAUUUCUCCUUUUCUGUUCUGGGCAAAUGUUUAUUCUAUGCUCCCCUGCACGCUAUCUUGUCUCUCUGGAUAUUGAGACUAGUGAGACAGCAGUGACCUCACCUGACCUCUGCUGCUCUGGACACACAAAACAAGGCCACUUUUACUAGAUACAUUCAAUGUCUUUCCUAAUGGGACAGUUAGUAAAACAAAUAUUUCUAAAGUGAAUUCCUUAUCAGAUAUCAAAAAUACUGAAUUACAAUGCGCCUCCAUUCAUCUUGGGUUGUUUUAACAUUUUGACCAUAUUCUAAGGCAAUACUGAUCUAAACACAAGGUCUGCCGCAAGAAAUGUUUGUACAAUUAACAGAGACAACCAUAUACAGCAUGAUAUUCCCACACGUUGCUAAUAGAAAAAAUUCUUAAUAUGUUCUUAAUGUGUUAAAAAAGUUGAGUAAUUUACUGAAAUUGCUGACCAAUUUUAUGUAUUUGGAAAAUAACAUUAUAAUUAUGUGCAACAGAUUUUCUUAAUGGGAAUUUUCUACUUUACAAAAAUUAAGAAAAAAAACACAUUUUAAAUCAUGUAACAACCUGGAUGUUUCUCUCAGCAUCUGAACAUAGUUAUAUAGUGCUAACAACGUGGAAUUAAGCAGUUGCAUGAUAUAAUUAUUAAAUACACAUAUGUAGUUCAUUAGUAUUUCCCAGUACUUACAUAAAAAUUACAAAUGUGCUAUAAAAAACUAUUUAUAAUAAUUAAUAAUUUGCCAAUUAUUCCUUAAUUAUUCCCUAAAUGUGCAUGCAGAAGAGCAUGAUCUGCAAUGAAGAUAUUUUCUCUGUCUUGUAAAAUACAUUAUUUAUCUGAUGUGUUUUUGUAGCACUACCCGGGAGAUCACAACAUCUGUUGAAGCAAGAGAUACAUCUGUUUCUGGCAGAUCAUCCGUCUUCUUCUUCUUCUUUGUAAUGGCCCAUUUGAGGACACAUGACAAUCUUUUUGUUCUGCUAAAAACAACAUGCAAAUGUGAAGCCUGAUCUUGAUCACAUCUUUUCUGUCAUCUCUUUCCUUCUCUCUAACACGCACAAAACUCAAAUCUUUAACCAAACAUUGCUGUUGGGGUAUAUGCAACAAUGUAAAAGUCUUACUGUCUUAAAGUCUUACUGUUAAUGUGUCCCUGUUGGAAAAAAAAUAAAUAAAUCUUACUGUCCCUCAACUUUUUUUGAAUGGAGGUAUAUGUACAGUAUUUUUGUGUUAUUUUAGGUCAUGAUUCAAAUGUGAUACUCAGCUUUAUAAAAUAGGUCCCCGCUUCUUUUCUUGAUGCUUUGAGCGGUCCUUAGUUUGGAAAGGGUUAAAUAACAGAAUCAAUCAAUGAAUGUGACUAAGUCAUCUUGAACUCACACUGGAUGUGAAGUCACCGUUGUCCGUGGACGACCAGCAUAAAAUUACUGCCUAUUGAAUUGUUAUAGAAAACUUUCCAAGAGGACUGCAUCACCAAAUUCCCUC
Molecule: long non-coding RNA, 6205 nt
Organism: Onychostoma macrolepis
Lineage: Eukaryota; Metazoa; Chordata; Actinopteri; Cypriniformes; Cyprinidae
Exons: 3
Source: RefSeq, a predicted model, not a curated record